GAACUGAAGAGUUUGAUCAUGGCUCAGAUUGAACGCUGGCGGCAGGCCUAACACAUGCAAGUCGAGCGGUAGAGAGAAGCUUGCUUCUCUUGAGAGCGGCGGACGGGUGAGUAAUGCCUAGGAAUCUGCCUGGUAGUGGGGGAUAACGUUCGGAAACGGACGCUAAUACCGCAUACGUCCUACGGGAGAAAGCAGGGGACCUUCGGGCCUUGCGCUAUCAGAUGAGCCUAGGUCGGAUUAGCUAGUUGGUGAGGUAAUGGCUCACCAAGGCGACGAUCCGUAACUGGUCUGAGAGGAUGAUCAGUCACACUGGAACUGAGACACGGUCCAGACUCCUACGGGAGGCAGCAGUGGGGAAUAUUGGACAAUGGGCGAAAGCCUGAUCCAGCCAUGCCGCGUGUGUGAAGAAGGUCUUCGGAUUGUAAAGCACUUUAAGUUGGGAGGAAGGGUUGUAGAUUAAUACUCUGCAAUUUUGACGUUACCGACAGAAUAAGCACCGGCUAACUCUGUGCCAGCAGCCGCGGUAAUACAGAGGGUGCAAGCGUUAAUCGGAAUUACUGGGCGUAAAGCGCGCGUAGGUGGUUUGUUAAGUUGGAUGUGAAAUCCCCGGGCUCAACCUGGGAACUGCAUUCAAAACUGACUGACUAGAGUAUGGUAGAGGGUGGUGGAAUUUCCUGUGUAGCGGUGAAAUGCGUAGAUAUAGGAAGGAACACCAGUGGCGAAGGCGACCACCUGGACUAAUACUGACACUGAGGUACGAAAGCGUGGGGAGCGAACAGGAUUAGAUACCCUGGUAGUCCACGCCGUAAACGAUGUCAACUAGCCGUUGGAAGCCUUGAGCUUUUAGUGGCGCAGCUAACGCAUUAAGUUGACCGCCUGGGGAGUACGGCCGCAAGGUUAAAACUCAAAUGAAUUGACGGGGGCCCGCACAAGCGGUGGAGCAUGUGGUUUAAUUCGAAGCAACGCGAAGAACCUUACCAGGCCUUGACAUCCAAUGAACUUUCUAGAGAUAGAUUGGUGCCUUCGGGAACAUUGAGACAGGUGCUGCAUGGCUGUCGUCAGCUCGUGUCGUGAGAUGUUGGGUUAAGUCCCGUAACGAGCGCAACCCUUGUCCUUAGUUACCAGCACGUUAUGGUGGGCACUCUAAGGAGACUGCCGGUGACAAACCGGAGGAAGGUGGGGAUGACGUCAAGUCAUCAUGGCCCUUACGGCCUGGGCUACACACGUGCUACAAUGGUCGGUACAGAGGGUUGCCAAGCCGCGAGGUGGAGCUAAUCCCAUAAAACCGAUCGUAGUCCGGAUCGCAGUCUGCAACUCGACUGCGUGAAGUCGGAAUCGCUAGUAAUCGCGAAUCAGAAUGUCGCGGUGAAUACGUUCCCGGGCCUUGUACACACCGCCCGUCACACCAUGGGAGUGGGUUGCACCAGAAGUAGCUAGUCUAACCUUCGGGAGGACGGUUACCACGGUGUGAUUCAUGACUGGGGUGAAGUCGUAACAAGGUAGCCGUAGGGGAACCUGCGGCUGGAUCACCUCCUUAAUCGACGACA
Molecule: ribosomal RNA, 1547 nt
Filed under: Pseudomonas azotoformans
Lineage: Bacteria; Pseudomonadati; Pseudomonadota; Gammaproteobacteria; Pseudomonadales; Pseudomonadaceae
Description: bacterial SSU rRNA
Rfam family: Bacterial small subunit ribosomal RNA
Source: RNAcentral